CGCGAAGGCAAGCAAAGCCCAAAAAAGGACGUCCCAGUUCGGAUUGCAGCCUGCAACUCGGCUGCAUGAAGCUGGAAUCGCUAGUAAUCGCAGAUCAGAAUGCUGCGGUGAAUACGUUCCCGGGUCUUGUACACACCGCCCGUCACACCAUGGGAGUUGGGAAUGCCCGAAGUCAGUGACCCAACCGCAAGGAGGGAGCUGCCGAAGGCAGGCUUGAUAACUGGGGUGAAGUCGUAACAAGGUAUC
RNAcentral lists this ribosomal RNA (246 nucleotides) under uncultured bacterium. Its description in RNAcentral is "partial 16S ribosomal RNA". It matches the Rfam family "Bacterial small subunit ribosomal RNA", at positions 1256 to 1500 of the family's 1533-position model. The record is from RNAcentral.